UCCUUUGUAAACCUUCAAGCGAUGGAUUCUAUCCCCUGUAAGACUUGAUCUGUUCUUAUUUCACCGGAUCUGAAAUAAAACAAUAAUGAGUUACACGUGUUCAGUAAAUCAAAUUUAAAAUUUAAACCUACAACUUGAAAUUCGUAAUCACUCCAAAAAUUUGAUUUAAUCCUUAUACCCUCUCCUGUUCACUUUUCUGCACAACUUCACAAUUCCUCACUGUUCACCACUAAAAUUCCCCUAAGUUCCCAUCUGUUUCCUGUCUAAAAACUUACUGCUCACUUUUUUCCCUCUACAAAAAUUUCUCUGUUCAUCCCUGCUGCUUUCCAGAUUCCAUAUUUUUCCCAUCCCAACCCAUUUUCCCAUCAUCCAGCACCUCACUCACUACCACAGAGAUUCUCCUCUGCCCACCAUUUCUAUUUCUUUCCCAUCUAGACUCCUAUUAGAUUAAAAUAAAAUCAUGAUAGCAAACCAACAUAUUCCUUAUGUCAUAAUUUGCACUCUCCCUGCUCCCCAUCUCACCAAUUCUUCAAUUUGUCUCCCGUCUGGAAUCUUAUUGAGUUUAAGUCUCAACCACUUUCCAGCCUACAUCUUCCUAAUUCCCUAUCUUCCUU
This 614-nucleotide long non-coding RNA is filed under the name Carica papaya (papaya). Its description in RNAcentral is "long non-coding RNA (CPAP_LNC002461)". Lineage: Eukaryota; Viridiplantae; Streptophyta; Magnoliopsida; Brassicales; Caricaceae. The record is from RNAcentral.